This 235-nucleotide ribosomal RNA is filed under the name uncultured Actinomycetales bacterium. Its description in RNAcentral is "partial 16S ribosomal RNA". It matches the Rfam family "Bacterial small subunit ribosomal RNA", at positions 96 to 334 of the family's 1533-position model. Lineage: Bacteria; Bacillati; Actinomycetota; Actinomycetes; Actinomycetales. The record is from RNAcentral.
UGGCGAACGGGUGAGUAAUACGUGGGUGAUCUGCCCUGCACUCUGGGAUAAGCCUGGGAAACUGGGUCUAAUACCGGAUAGGACCAUGCUUUAGUGUGUGUGGUGGAAAGUUUUUUCGGUGUAGGAUGAGCCCGCGGCCUAUCAGCUUGUUGGUGGGGUAAUGGCCUACCAAGGCGGCGACGGGUAGCCGGACUGAGAGGUUGGUCGGCCACAUUGGGACUGAGAUACGGCCCAG